CAGAGAUUCAAAUGUCUAUUUCCUCUAAUGGGUUGAAACCACAAGAUGUUUCUAUGGCUGAGUGAGGAACACGGUACCAGGGACUUCAGCUCCACAUCAAUAAUUGUACACCGAGAGUCUCUCCACUCUGUGGCUUUGGUUAACGAUGAAGGUAGCAAACUGUUUUGCAGUCAGCUCGCAUCGUGAGCGUAUUAUUGUUGUCGCAGCUCAUCAUAUUUUCCACAAGCCUGAGUGUCAAGCAAAAAAACGGAAAAAGUCGCCACGCCUCUACAUGCAAGGUCUAAAAGAAGUGCUUUGAGGCACAACUCGCAGUGAUGACUAAAACAGUGAUACGAUAUCUACUUCUCAGCACCUUUGUUAGGCUCCUCGUCUCACCCUCCGUGUCUCAGACCGUGGAGGUAGAGGCGGGGGACACUGUCACCUUUUCCUGUAGACAUGUGUCCGAUAUUCCCACACUGUCUACCUGGAUGAGGGCAGGUCGCACAUCAAAGCCCUUUGUCAUCUCCACUGGGUAUGGAACUUCUCCUUUGACAGGGAGUCACAGUGAUGGCAUCCAACAAAGUCGAUUUGUAACGGAAUACGGUGCCUCUUUCAUUAAUCUUACAAUGAAAGUGAGUUCUUCAGACUCUGGCUGGUAUUAUUGCCUUUUUUACCUUGGGAUGGAUGUAGUUGUUGUCAACUCAACAUGGUUGUUGGUUCAUGAAAAUGGUACAUUUCACGAAGAGGACAACCCAAAUUCUGAAAAACCCCGGCCAGUGAAGUGUGAGGGGAAUUGGAUCAUGGUCGGAGGACUCUUUGGUUCUGCGGUCAUCAUCCUGGUUCUGGUCAUUGUCGGACUCGU
Gadus macrocephalus (Pacific cod) is the source of this 841-nucleotide long non-coding RNA. RefSeq lists it as uncharacterized. The record is from RefSeq and is a predicted model, not a curated record. NCBI's taxonomy places the organism in Eukaryota, Metazoa, Chordata, Actinopteri, Gadiformes, Gadidae. The transcript has 4 exons.